UAGUCUACGCCGUAAACGAUGGAUACUAGUUGUUUGGAUUUCGGUCUGAGUGACUAAGCGAAAGUGAUAAGUAUCCCACCUGGGGAGUACGUUCGCAAGAAUGAAACUCAAAGGAAUUGACGGGGGCCCGCACAAGCGGUGGAGCAUGUGGUUUAAUUCGAUGAUACGCGAGGAACCUUACCAGGGCUUAAAUGUAGUAUGACAGACUGAGAGAUCGGUUUUUCUUCGGACAUAUUACAAGGUGCUGCAUGGUUGUCGUCAGCUCGUGCCGUGAGGUGUCAGGUUAAGUCCUAUAACGAGCGCAACCCCUACCGUUAGUUGCCAGCAUGUUAUGAUGGGGACUCUAGCGGGACUGCCGGUGCAAACCGAGAGGAAGGUGGGGAUGACGUCAAAUCAUCACGGCCCUUACGUCCUGGGCUACACACGUGCUACAAUGGUCAGUACAGAGGGCAGCCACUACGCGAGUAGGAGCGAAUCCUUAAAACUGAUCUCAGUUCGGAUCGGAGUCCGCAAC
Molecule: ribosomal RNA, 514 nt
Filed under: uncultured bacterium
Lineage: Bacteria
Description: bacterial SSU rRNA
Rfam family: Bacterial small subunit ribosomal RNA
Source: RNAcentral